UUAUAGUCUACAGCAUGUGUAGUCAUAACUAUCGCAUUCGCACUCUAUGAGUUACUUAGCUUUGUCUAUGACUUGUAUAGAUAAAGCUAUUUGUAGAAACUUUACACAUAAUCAAUUUACUUUUACUUACCAAAAAAAGCAUAAAACAGGAAUGUGAUUAAUCUUUUCAGAGAUUGAAACGAGUAAAUGAGUCAUAUUUAAGUCAAUUUUUUUAAAAAAAUAAGUUAGUCACUUUUUUACAUCACGAUGGCAAAAAAACA
RNAcentral lists this long non-coding RNA (260 nucleotides) under Musa acuminata (dwarf banana). RNAcentral describes it as "long non-coding RNA (MACU_LNC011308)". Lineage: Eukaryota; Viridiplantae; Streptophyta; Magnoliopsida; Zingiberales; Musaceae. The record is from RNAcentral.